Molecule: microRNA precursor, 177 nt
Filed under: Oryza sativa Japonica Group (Japanese rice)
Lineage: Eukaryota; Viridiplantae; Streptophyta; Magnoliopsida; Poales; Poaceae
Description: MIR812 microRNA precursor family
Rfam family: MIR812 microRNA precursor family
Source: Rfam by way of RNAcentral
UCCGUCUGUAGUUAUAGGUUUCCGUGUCCAAUAUUUAACUAUUCAUUUUAUUUAAAUUUUUUUAUGAUUAAUAUUUUUUGUUGCUAUUAGAUAAUGCGUGAUUUAAUUUUUUUUCAUAAAUUUUUAAAUAAGAUGGAUGAUCAAACGUUAGACACAAAACUCACAGCUACGUUUUAA